Molecule: long non-coding RNA, 670 nt
Filed under: Anneissia japonica
Lineage: Eukaryota; Metazoa; Echinodermata; Crinoidea; Comatulida; Comatulidae
Description: uncharacterized LOC117124644
Source: RNAcentral
CGGAAGCGGUAGUAUUUUGAAUUUUUCUCUGGACUUUCGUGAUAUUAGGCAGUUAUAAAUUCAUACUUCUUGGAAGUAUUUUAGCAAUACUGCAUUCACUAUCAAGUGGAUACCCAAGUCUCGGUAACUACUGUAAGUGAAAACUCAAUCCAGUCAACUCAAUCAUUGUAGUAGGAAAGCAUUAAUGUUUGUUUGAAGACGUAUCGGUGAAGGCCAGAAAAUUACCUGACUUACUAAAGCAAGAGUGAAACUCCGAGAAAUGUUAGUACAAGUCACAGUGAUUUAAUAUUUCAAACUAGAUUUGUUCAACGGCAUAAUUCAUACAAAUUUAGCUUGGUACCAUCGGACAAGAAAAGGCAUGGUUAUGGACAGUUUCUGCUGCAAUAUCACAAAGAAUGCUGGUUUAUGCACACCUGUAACACAAAUGGUUCUUGAAUAUUGUUUUAUAUAAUGAACUCUUGUAAUAGGACUACAUUACGAAAAAAACCGGACUGUAAAAGCAAAGAAAUGUAGAAUAGCCUUGAAUUUGAGGUACAGUAUGUUUAGUAGUAAGACAUUAGCAAAACGAUAAUAUAUGAAGGGGUAUGCUAGUAAAUGAGACCAUAGGGAAGCAAUGUCCCUGUCGUAUGAUGUUUGUUGAUGUUUUAAAUUAAAGAAAUUAUGGUUUGUA